CUACACACUUCAGCAGCAGAUAUAAUAAAAAUGGAACAAUACAGACAAUUAGCAUGGCCCCUGUGCAAGAAUGACAUGCAAUUUCAUCAAAUAUUCCAUAUUUAA
Molecule: small nuclear RNA, 105 nt
Organism: Nannospalax galili (Upper Galilee mountains blind mole rat)
Lineage: Eukaryota; Metazoa; Chordata; Mammalia; Rodentia; Spalacidae
Source: Ensembl